CAGUCGCCGCGGUAAUAUGGAGGGGGCUAGCGUUGUUCGGAAUUACUGGGCGUAAAGCGCACGUAGGCUGCUUUGUAAGUCAGAGGUGAAAGCCUGGUGCUCAACACCAGAACUGCCUUUAAGACUGCAUCGCUUGAACGUCGGAGAGGUGAGUGGAAUUCCGAGUGUAGAGGUGAAAUUCGUAGAUACUCGGAAGAACACCAGUGGCGAAGGCGGCUCACUGGACGACUGUUGACGCUGAGGUACGAAAGCGUGGGGAGCAAACAGGAUUAGAUACCCCUGUAGUCCCUGUCUCUUAUAC
RNAcentral lists this ribosomal RNA (301 nucleotides) under uncultured bacterium. Its description in RNAcentral is "partial 16S ribosomal RNA". It matches the Rfam family "Bacterial small subunit ribosomal RNA", at positions 509 to 807 of the family's 1533-position model. The record is from RNAcentral.